UGAAUCCCAGUUUUCCGCAGCCUACGUCCGUUAUCCUCCCACCUCUCAAACGUGGAUUCUCCAUUUCCGUAGUCAUGGGUGGUUGCGUGGCCUUCGUGCCUAGAUUCUCGGGCUGGAGAGCAUGCCUCGCCAACUGUCGUUGACCGGGUCUCCUCGAAUCAACCCUUAGCAAGAAUACAGCAGGAAUGGCUUUAUGCUUCUUGCAGGAAAUUGGCCUCGCGGAUGACGUGCUUCCUGGUGACUUCCUGGUCGAGGUGACUAAUAGCAUCCUGGUCGAGGUGAUGUGCUCGAGGUCACCACAUAUUUUUCUGGUCGAGAUGAUCUGCUCAACCAUUUGCUCACUUUUACUUUGAGGAGAGCACGAUAAUGUAUGAGCAAACACCUUUAUCUUGGUCACCCCAUUUCAUUCCCUAAACACCAGUCCCCCAGUUUCUAGUGUUGAGAGUGAAACGAAUCAAGACUAGAAACUUUAGUGAUCUGCUCGUCUUCGCUUGGUUGAGCAGAUCCUGGUAUGCUUGGCUUUCUGUCUCGCCAUAAACAGGCUUUGAAACUUUGGUGAGCCUUUGCAUGCCUUUGAUUCUUCAAGGAUUGGGAUUCUGCUCGCCUUCUCGUGGCCGAGCAGAUCCUGGCAUGCUUGGCUUCUGUCUCACCAUAAAACAGGCUUUGAGACUUUGAGCCUUUGCAUGCCUUUGAUUCUUCAAGGAUUGGGAUUCUGCUCGCCUUCUCGUGGCCGAGCAGAUCCUGGCACGCUUGGCUUCUGUCUCGCCAUAAAACAGGCUUUGAGACUUUGAGCCUUUGCAUGCCUUUGAUUCUUCAAGGAUUGGGAUUCUGCUGGCCUUCUCGUGGUCGAGCAGAUCCUGGCACGCUUGGUUUCUGUCUCGCCAUAAAACAGGUUUUGAGACUUUGAGCCUUUGCAUGCCUUUGAUUCUUCAAGGAUUGGGAUUCUGCUCGCCUUCUCGUGGCCGAGCAGAUCCUGGCAUGCUUGGCUUCCUGUCUCGCCAUAAACAGGCUUUGAAACUUUGGUGAGCCUUUGCAUGCCUUUGAUUCUUCAAGGAUUGGGAUUCUGCUCGCCUUCUCGUGGUCGAGCAGAUCCUGGCACGCUUGGUUUUUGUCUCGCCAUAAAACAGGCUUUGAGACUUUGAGCUUUUGCAUGCCUUUGAUUCUUCAAGGAUUGGGAUUCUGCUCGCCUUCUCGUGGCCGAGCAGAUCCUGGCAUGCUUGGCUUCCUGUCUCGCCAUAAACAGGCUUUGAAACUUCGGUGAGCCUUUGCAUGCCUUUGAUUCUUCAAGGAUUGGGAUUCUGCUCGCCUUCUCGUGGUCGAGCAGAUCUUGGCACGCUUGGGUUCUGUCUCGCCAUAAAACAAGCUUUGAGACUUUGAGCCUUUGCAUGCCUUUGAUUCUUCAAGGAUUGGGAUUCUGCUCGCCUUCUCGUGGUCGAGCAGAUCCUGGCACGCUUGGCUUCUGUCUCGCCAUAAAACAGGCUUUGAGACUUUGAGCCUUUGCAUGCCUUUGAUUCUUCAAGGAUUGGGAUUCUGCUCGCCUUCUCGUGGCCGAGCAGAUCCUGGCAUGCUUGGCUUCUGUCUCGCCAUAAAACAGGCUUUGAGACUUUGAGCCUUUGCAUGCCUUAGUAAAUUCUUCAAUGCUUGGGAUUCUGCUCGCCUUCACGUGGUCGAGCAGAUCCUGGCAUGCUUGGCUUCUGUCUCGUCAUAAAACAGGCUUUGAGACUUGGUGAGCCUUUGCAUGCCUUAGUGACUUCUUCGAUGCUUGGGGAUUCUGCUCGCCUUUACGUGGCCGAGCAGAUCCUGGCAUGCUUGGCUUCUGUCUCGCCAUAAACAGGCUUUGAGACUUGUCGAGCCUUUGCAUGCCUUUGAUGAUUUCUUCAAAGCUUGAGAUUCUGCUAGCCUUCUCGUGGCCGAGCAGAUCCUGUAAUGCUUGGCUUCUGUCUCGCCAUAAACAGGCUUUGAGACUUGACGAGCCUUUGCAUGCCUUGGAUGAUUUCUUCAAAGCUUGGGAUUCUGCUAGCCUUCUCGUGGCCGAGCAUAUCCUGGCAUGCUUGGCUUCUCUCUCGCCAUAAAACAGGCUUUGAGACUUGACGAGCCUUUGCAUGCCUUAAUGAAUUCUUCGAUGCUUGAGGAUUCUGCUCGCCUUCACGUGGUCGAGCAGAUCCUGGCAUGCUUAUCUUUUGUCUCGCCAUAAAACAGGCUUUGAGACUUGGUGAGCCUUUGCAUGCCUUAGUGACUUCUUCGAUGCUUGGGGAUUCUGCUCGCCUUCACAUGGCCGAGCAGAUCCUGGCAUGCUUGGCUUCUGUCUCGCCAUAAACAGGCUUUGAGACUUGUCGAGCUUUUGCAUGCCUUUAAUGAUUUCUUCAAAGCUUGGGAUUCUGCUAGCAUUCUCGUGGCCGAACAGAUCCUGGCAUGCUUGGCUUCUGUCUCGCCAUAAACAGGCUUUGAGACUUGACAAGCCUUUGCAUACCUUGGAUGAUUUCUUCAACGCUUGGGAUUCUACUAGCCUUCUCGUGGCCGAGCAGAUCCUGGCAUGCUUGGCUUCUGUCUCGCCAUAAAACAGGCUUUGCGACUUGGUGAGCCUUUGCAUGCCUUAGUGACUUUUUCGAUGCUUGGGGAUUCUGCUCGCCUUCACGUGGUCGAGCAGAUCCUGGCAUGCUUGGCUUCUGUCUCGCCAUAAAACAGGCUUUGAGACUUCACGAGCCUUUGCAUGCCUUAGAAAAUUUAUCACAGUUUCAAGUGAAUGACAUUCCUCGACGUUCCAUUAAUUGCAAGUUUUUAUUUUACAUGAACUUGCUCUGACGUAAAACAUAAAAAUAAAAGAUAAAGAGCACGAGCAGAAAUUGCUUUAAAAUGUGAACAAGUCUUACUGGAAGUAUUUUUGGAAGUGUGCUGCGUUCCAUGGGCGUUUCACCUCGUGGCCGUCCGUGCGAACCAGCUUGUAAGCUCCGGGUCCCACCAUCGGCUUGACUCUAUAUGGCCCUUCUUGUUUUCUACUCUGGUAUCGAGGGAUGUUAUCUGCAUUGCUUCCCUUGCUGCCGAGGAGUAGCAGCUUCUUGCGAUCCUCUGGUCUCCUCGUACCACUCCAACUACCCCAUUCACCCGGUACUUCAGAGCCAGAUAAUGGUUGGACAGCACCGCUUUGCUCAUCCUCAGAAAUGGCCGACCCAGGAUCAUCUGGUAUGGACCUUCUUCAUCCACCACCACAAAGUCUAGUAUCAUAGUUCUUUCUGUCUGGGAGCUCCCAAUUGUGAUAGGCAGCUCAACCACACCCAGUGGGACCAGCUUUCCUCCUCCGAAUCCCUUCAAGGAGGUAUUGGUGUAUUCCAACUUCAGGUCUGCUAUUCCCAUUUCCUCCAGGGUUGACUUAAACAACACGUCAACUGAGCUCCCUGUGUCAACCAGUAUCCUGUCAAACUUCUUGCUAGCGAUAGUGGCCUUGAUGACCAAAGCAUCCUCGUGGGGGUACAGAAUUCCUUCUUCAUCCUCAUCUGUCCACAUAAUUGGCACUUGCCUGACUCUGGCACGUUUAGCUGCUGGGGUGUUGAAGAAUACCUCUUUGCUGGUCAUGGCAUAUUUAGCAUAGUUCUUCCUCAACCUGUUGGAAUCUCCGGCUAAUGUUGGGCCCCCAGCUAUCACCCUAACUGCAGGCUGCUCGCGCCUCAAGUUCCUGUCUCUCUGCUCCCCUUCACUUGUCAAGGCUACCAUUGGGAAGGUCCCAUCUAUAAACUCGUCCAAGUACCGAUUUCUCACCAAAUCUUCUACUUGGGUCUUGAGAUCUCUACACUCUGCUGUGGUAUGGCCAUGAGUGCCAUGGAACUUACAAUAGCGUCCCCUAUCUCUCCUGCCGGGUAGCUUUGUUAUUGGGGCAGGGAGGUACAGCAAUCCUCGGUCCUUUAUGGCCUCAUACACCUCGUCCAGGGACAUCUUCAAUGAAGUAUACCGCCCAUAGUCCUGGUUCUGGUCGAUCAGGUGUACUGCCCUUUCUCUAUUUGCUCCGUUUUGAGUUGGGGGUAGUGGCAGCACUUCUGGUCUGCUCCCUCUACUGCCGUGGGAGUGUUGAUGAAGACCACCAUAUGUCGAAUCAUGCCUUCUCCAAGGCUCCCUAGCUGGGGAACGAGGAGGCUGCGCCCUGCUGCGCUGAUAUUGUGGUGGCCUCUGAUGAGGCUGGUAAGCUUUUACCCGACCUCCUGCUCCACUACCUGAGCCCUGGUGGUCCCUUCUUCUGAUCGGCCCAUUCCCUGGUGGUGCCCUCUUCUCUUUCUUUUCCAACCCCUCUAGCUGGUCAGUCUUAAUCCGAGCCGCCUUUUCUUCCUCGAUCUCUAUGUCUCUUUUAGCCUGCUCGUAUGCGGCCGCAUAUGACUGAAUAGCUGGGCUUCUCAAGUUGUACCACAACCUUUCUAUCUUCACUCCCUCUUUCAAUCCCCUUAGUGCCUGAGGAUGGUUGAAGGCUCCCAAAUCGAGGACAGCACGAUGAAACCUCUUGAUGAAUUCCCGAAGGGUUUCUUGGUCCCCCUGUUUCAUGCUUUUCAGCUCCAUCAUGUCAUCUUCUGGUGCCAUCGCCCCACUAAACUGCUCUGCGAAUUCCUGGCACAUCUGCUCGAAGGUUUUAAUGCUGCCCCGAGGAAGUUUCCUGUACCACUCUCGUGCAUGUCCCUCAAGGGAUAGUGGGAACACCCUGCACCUUUGGGAUUGAGAUAAUCCUUGUACUCCAGUUAUGUCGUUGAAGCGCUCUAUGUGCACCAGCGGAUCAGUUCUUCCCGCGUAUCUAAGGUCUGGGAGGCGGAAAUCCCUUGGAAUAAUUGCCCUCAUGAUCUCUGCUGCGAGCGGUGAUUCUCCGUCCAGCAUUAUCCUCCAACCAGGAGCUCUGCUCCUUCCUUGCAUGUCGUCAAUUAUCUGCGCUAGUCUGCGCACUUCCUCCUCCAGCUGCACUGCACGACCAGGGUCACGUGCAGCAACUUGAUCCCGCUCUUGCUCUACAUCAUGCAAAUGUUGCCUCAACUCCGUUUCCUCUGCAUUCGCCACCCCAUCGUCCUCAUCAAAAAUCUGCCUUGCCGGGGACUGCUCUUCCUCUCUAUGGAAUUCUCCCCGCAGGGGUAUGUUACCUCUCUCACCACCAAGUCUCCCGAUGGUUUGACUUCUCCUUGUACUACUGGGAUCUGGUGCCACUCCACCUCCUCUCACCCUUUCUUCCUGGGUUACCCUUCGUUCGUUCCGCCGCUCAUGCAGAAUGGUUGUCAAGGAUUCCAUCUGCUUUUCCAUUCGUUCCAUCCGGUCGAACAUGGCUUUUUCCCGUGCUUCACUGGCUAUCUCCCUCAGUGUCACGGAAUCAUUAAGCCUCAUAUCACCCCCUUGUGCACUACUUCCUCCUGCCUCCAUUGCUUUUCAGUUACUUCCCCUCACUUCUUGCUAUCAACAGAAGCUUUUUGCUCAGCUCCCCACAGACGGUGCCAAAAUGUUGAUGCAAGAUUCUGGUUGUCCUCGUUCUACGACCAGGCUCUCUGCUCGAUCAACUUCACCACGACCAGGAGGUCUCCUCGUAAGGCUUCUUCUCCAGAGGUUCCUGCGCACACACACAAGUCAGAGUACGCCGGUUGUUUUCCCGGCGCAAACCCUCCGACGCUCAAGUCAGAUAUGAAGGUUCGGGGAACGCUUGCCACAGAUCUUAUGGCUUUUUCGUAGUUUGCUCUUCUUUUAGAAUUGCUUUUAUCUCUCUUCUAAUCUCAAAAUUGCUAACCCUUUUACCUUCGUUGGCUACCUUUUUAUAGGCUUCUUCUGAAUCCCAGUUUUCUGCAGCCUACGUCCGUUAUCCUCCCACCUCUCGAACGUGGAUUCUCCAUUUCCGUAGUCAUGGGUGGUUGCGUGGCCUUCGUGCCUAGAUUCUCGGGCUGGAGAGCAUGCCUCGCCAACUGUCGUUGACCGGGUCUCCUCGAAUCAACCCUUAGCAAGAAUACAGCAGGAAUGGCUUUAUGCUUCUUGCAGGAA
RNAcentral lists this long non-coding RNA (5985 nucleotides) under Citrus x clementina. RNAcentral's name for it is "Citrus clementina (C. clementina) long non-coding RNA (CCLE_LNC002377)". The record is from RNAcentral. Lineage: Eukaryota; Viridiplantae; Streptophyta; Magnoliopsida; Sapindales; Rutaceae.